This 330-nucleotide ribosomal RNA is filed under the name Triticum aestivum (bread wheat). Its description in RNAcentral is "partial small subunit ribosomal RNA". Lineage: Eukaryota; Viridiplantae; Streptophyta; Magnoliopsida; Poales; Poaceae. The record is from RNAcentral.
AUGAACCACACAAUGCAAGAACAUGCCCAAAGCGCGCAGAUGCUGAAAAGACAAACCAAAAGCCAGAAAAGAAACAGAAAGCAAAACCUAGAGCCAGCAACAAGAAAGUGGUGGAAGAUGAAGAGGAGGAUGAGGAAGACGAAGAUAAAGACAUCAUCGAAGAAGAGGAAGAGGAAGAGGAAGAUGAAGAUGAAGGGGAAGAGGAAGAGGAAGAGGAAGAGGAAGAUGAAGAUGAAGAGAAAGAGGAAGAUGAAGAGGAAGAGGCACAUGUCAAGCAAAAACCACUAUCAAGCAAAGCUUAGGAGGAGCGCAAGGCUGAUGAACAGUUAG